This 751-nucleotide ribosomal RNA is filed under the name uncultured Propionibacterium sp. RNAcentral's name for it is "bacterial SSU rRNA". It matches the Rfam family "Bacterial small subunit ribosomal RNA", at positions 28 to 792 of the family's 1533-position model. The record is from RNAcentral. Lineage: Bacteria; Bacillati; Actinomycetota; Actinomycetes; Propionibacteriales; Propionibacteriaceae.
GACGAACGCUGGCGGCGUGCUUAACAACAUGCAAGUCGAACGGAAAGGCCCUGCUUUUAUGGGGUGCUCGAGUGGCGAACGGGUGAGUAACACGUGAGUAACCUGCCCUUGACUUUGGGAUAACUUCAGGAAACUGGGGCUAAUACCGGAUAGGAGCUCCUGCUGCAUGGUGGGGGUUGGAAAGUUUCGGCGGUUGGGGAUGGACUCGCGGCUUAUCAGCUUGUUGGUGGGGUAGUGGCUUACCAAGGCUUUGACGGGUAGCCGGCCUGAGAGGGUGACCGGCCACAUUGGGACUGAGAUACGGCCCAGACUCCUACGGGAGGCAGCAGUGGGGAAUAUUGCACAAUGGGCGGAAGCCUGAUGCAGCAACGCCGCGUGCGGGAUGACGGCCUUCGGGUUGUAAACCGCUUUCGCCUGUGACGAAGCGUGAGUGGCGGUAAUGGGUAAAGAAGCACCGGCUAACUACGUGCCAGCAGCCGCGGUGAUACGUAGGGCGCGAGCGUUGUCCGGAUUUAUUGGGCGUAAAGGGCUCGUAGGUGGUUGAUCGCGUCGGAAGUGUAAUCUUGGGGCUUAACCCUGAGCGUGCUUUCGAUACGGGUUGACUUGAGGAAGGUAGGGGAGAAUGGAAUUCCUGGUGGAGCGGUGGAAUGCGCAGAUAUCAGGAGGAACACCAGUGGCGAAGGCGGUUCUCUGGGCCUUUCCUGACGCUGAGGAGCGAAAGCGUGGGGAGCGCAGCUUAGAUACCCUGGUA